This 397-nucleotide long non-coding RNA is filed under the name Struthio camelus australis. RNAcentral describes it as "lncRNA (ENSSCUG00000016353.1)". The record is from RNAcentral. Lineage: Eukaryota; Metazoa; Chordata; Aves; Struthioniformes; Struthionidae.
CAGAGAGAAGUCUUGGCUCUCCCUUGGGCAAACAGGAAACUGCGAUAAUACAAGUGUGUUUCUGUAGACAGCCUGCUGUUUGGCUUUUUUCAGGAACUGGUGAUUUAGAGGGUGCUUCCAGGAACACCGCUAGAGACGGGAAGUGGGCUGAGCGCAGACUGCUGAUCUUUGGAGCUGAGAAUCUCAAGGGGAAAGCUCUCCCGCCUGCCCCAGGGGACUCCCCUCGCGCCUUCGGGAGGCGGCAGCAAAUGGAGAAAGCGCUCUGCCGCUCACUCGGGCGCCGUUGUCCCGUACUUGCCCGCUGGCAGCCUGCGAGCGGCAGUCUGAAGCCCGGUGAUCCCAGGGCUGCGUUACUAAUGCAGCUUCCAGCUGAGCGUCUCCGUGGCUCGUGGCUUGC